RNAcentral lists this ribosomal RNA (497 nucleotides) under uncultured bacterium. Its description in RNAcentral is "partial 16S ribosomal RNA". It matches the Rfam family "Bacterial small subunit ribosomal RNA", at positions 28 to 507 of the family's 1533-position model. The record is from RNAcentral.
GAUGAACGCUGGCGGCGUGCCUAAUACAUGCAAGUCGAACGAACACACAAUGAGCUUGCGCCUCUAACGGUAGCGGCUGACGGGUGGGUAACACGUGCAUAACCUACCUAUAAUUCGUGGGGAACUUCGUAAAACCGGAUCUAAUACUAGAUAAUAUGUUGUACGGCAGAGAGCAGUAGUUCAUCACGCUUUUGCUGUCUGUUAGAGAUGGUGUCGCGCCGGAUUAGCUAGUUGGUAAGGUAACGGCACACCAAGGCAACGAUGCGUAGCCGACCUGAGAGGGUGAUCGGCCACACUGGAACUGAGACACGGUCCAGACUCCUACGGGAGGCAGCAGUGGGGAAUAUUGGGCAAUGGGCGCAAGCCUGACGCAGCCAUGCCGCGUGAGUGAUGAAGGCCUUCGGAUCGUAAAACCCUGUUGUUGGGAAAGAAAAACAGUGUAAGAAAACCUCGCUGUCCUGACGGUACCCAAUGAGAAAGCACCGGCUAACUUCGUG